This 253-nucleotide ribosomal RNA is filed under the name uncultured bacterium. RNAcentral describes it as "partial 16S ribosomal RNA". It matches the Rfam family "Bacterial small subunit ribosomal RNA", at positions 524 to 776 of the family's 1533-position model. The record is from RNAcentral.
UGCGUAGGGGGCAAGCGUUGUCCGGAUUUAUUGGGCGUAAAGAGCGUGUAGGCGGCUAUACAGGUCCGCUGUGAAAACUCGAGGCUCAACCUCGAGACGUCGGUGGAAACCGUAUGGCUAGAGUCCGGAAGAGGAGAGUGGAAUUCCUGGUGUAGCGGUGAAAUGCGCAGAUAUCAGGAAGAACACCCGUGGCGAAGGCGGCUCUCUGGGACGGUACUGACGCUGAGACGCGAAAGCGUGGGGAGCGAACAGG